CGUAAAUGGGGACUGCGGAGGAUCAUUAAUGAGGUUUAUCGGUCAGUGCUGGUGUUCGCAUGAACGCAUGUGCACGGCCGUCUUCCUUCUAUCAACCCCUGUGCACUUUAUUAAAUGAGGUGGGGAUGAGAUGGGUUGGGUGAGAAGCGCGUCGCGUGCGAGAUUAACGUAGUAGUUGUGGGUCCACCACGCGAAAAGGUUAAUCUUGUUGUAGUGGCGCGUGGUACUACCUGUUCGCGCCGUCUUCUCCCUGCUUUAUUUUUAAUACAAACCACACAUAUUAGUCUUGUCGAAUGUUCAGUCCUACGGGACGCUAAAUCAUAAUACAACUUUCAACAACGGAUCUCUUGGCUCUCGCAUCGAUGAAGAACGCAGCGAAAUGCGAUAAGUAAUGUGAAUUGCAGAAUUCAGUGAAUCAUCGAAUCUUUGAACGCACCUUGCGCCCUUUGGUAUUCCGAAGGGCACGCCUGUUUGAGUGUCAUGUUCAUCUCAACCCCUCUGGUUUUGUUAUGAAACCUCUGGGGUUGGAUUUGGGAGCUGCUGGCCUCGCAAGAGGUCGGCUCUCCUUGAAUGCAUUAGUGGGCAUCUGGCUCGCGUUGCUGGUGUGAUAGUACCCCUUCAUCAUCGGCGGCGCUUGUCUAAUGGGUCUGCUUUCGAACCGUCUUCUCGACGGAGACAAAUAACUUCAUUGACACAUUUGACCUCAAAUCAGGUGGGACUACCCGCUGAACUUAAGCAUAU
Molecule: ribosomal RNA, 741 nt
Filed under: Hymenochaete sphaerospora
Lineage: Eukaryota; Fungi; Basidiomycota; Agaricomycetes; Hymenochaetales; Hymenochaetaceae
Description: eukaryotic LSU rRNA
Rfam family: 5.8S ribosomal RNA (bases 328-481)
Source: RNAcentral